Molecule: ribosomal RNA, 253 nt
Filed under: [Lactobacillus] rogosae
Lineage: Bacteria; Bacillati; Bacillota; Clostridia; Lachnospirales; Lachnospiraceae
Description: Lactobacillus rogosae partial 16S ribosomal RNA
Rfam family: Bacterial small subunit ribosomal RNA
Source: RNAcentral
UACGUAUGGAGCAAGCGUUAUCCGGAUUUACUGGGUGUAAAGGGAGUGUAGGUGGCCAGGCAAGUCAGAAGUGAAAGCCCGGGGCUCAACCCCGGGACUGCUUUUGAAACUGCAGGGCUAGAGUGCAGGAGGGGCAAGUGGAAUUCCUAGUGUAGCGGUGAAAUGCGUAGAUAUUAGGAGGAACACCAGUGGCGAAGGCGACUUGCUGGACUGUAACUGACACUGAGGCUCGAAAGCGUGGGGAGCAAACAGG